Molecule: unclassified non-coding RNA, 1403 nt
Filed under: Hevea brasiliensis (rubber tree)
Lineage: Eukaryota; Viridiplantae; Streptophyta; Magnoliopsida; Malpighiales; Euphorbiaceae
Source: RNAcentral
AUUAGUAAGUAAGAGUCCUAUUCAAUAUAGGAAAACGCACUAAUAAAAAGAAUUUACGCUACCAUGUUCUAAAAUUUAUAUAGUACCAUAUUCUAAUGUAAAAACACUAAUAAGUACCCUAUAACUGAAAAACUUAAAUCCAUGCUCGGAUAGCACGUCGAUGCCCGUUGACUUAAUAAUAAUAAUAUAUAUAUAAAAAAAGAAACUAUAGCCGAAAUUAAGAAGUUAUAGACUUCUAGUAAUAACUAAAUCACUAUGCUAUUUGGAAUCUCGCAACUAUAAUGGCCCCGGAUAAAGAGAGCGAGCAAGGGAGAGAAGAGCUUAAAUUGAGGCGCUUAGUAACUUCUCCCUCUCUCUUUGUUGGCUUGUUGAAUCUCCUUCAGGUUCAGUUCCACUCAUCAUUCAUUAUGAGCAACGGGAAGGACAACUUCAGUGUUGCCGAUCUCAGCGCUGCUUUGAAUGCGGGGGACCGAGCAGACCUUGUCAAUGUACUCAAAAGUAAACUUCAGGAUCUUACUGGGAAACACUCAGAUGUACUUGAAAAUUUGUCCCCCAUUGUCAGGAAGCGUGUUGAGGUUCUCAGGGAGAUUCAGACUCAACAUGACGAUUUGGAGGCAAAAUUUUUUGAAGAGAGAGCUGCACUUGAAGCCAAAUACCAGAAGCUUUAUCAACCAUUAUACACAAAGAGAUUUGAAAUUGUGAAUGGGGUUAUUGAAGUUGAAGGGGCAACAACCGAGGCUGCAGUAGCAGACCAGCAAGUGGAUAAGGAUGCAGUGGAGAAAGGUGUCCCUGAUUUUUGGAUCACGGCUAUGAAAAAUAACGAUGUGCUAUCUGAGGAGAUUACCGAGCGAGAUGAAGAAGCUCUCAAAUUCCUCAGGGAUAUAAAGUGGUCCAAGAUUGAUGAUCCAAAGGGUUUCAAGCUUGAAUUCUUCUUCGAGGCUAAUCCUUACUUCAAAAACACUUUGCUGACUAAAACCUAUCACAUGAUUGAUGAAGAUGAACCAAUUCUGGAGAAGGCGAUUGGGACUGAGAUAGAAUGGUAUCCUGGAAAAUGCUUGACACAGAAGAUUCUAAAAAAGAAGCCAAAGAAGGGGUCAAAGAAUGCCAAGCCUAUCACUAAAACAGAGCAGUGUGAAAGUUUCUUCAACUUCUUUUGUCCUCCUCAAGUACCGGAGGAUGAAGAGGAUAUUGAUGAAGAUGCUGCUGAAGAACUUCAGAAUUUGAUGGAACAAGAUUAUGAUGUUGGGUCAACAAUUCGAGAUAAAAUCAUUCCACAUGCAGUUUCAUGGUUCACUGGGGAAGCUGCUGAGGAUGAUGAUUAUGCUGACUUGGAAGAUGACGAGGAUGAAGAUGAUGAAGAGAAUGAGGAGGAUGAAGAAGAUGAGGAUGAAGAAGAAGAUGAG